CUGGGGAAAACCACCUGCAGGCAGAUUGCUUUCAAAUGUGGUCUUGCAAAUCACUCUGAAACCAAGGGAGCCAGCCCUAGCCAUAGUGCUUUUAAUGCAUGGAGACAAGGACCAUCUCCCCUCCAUGCUGACCUGUGCUCCAAUGCAAUUACCUCUGCAGCUGAUUGUACAAGUCUCUUCCUCACAAGAUUGAUCCCACAUCCCUGCCAAUAUGAACCCUUCUGUGCUUUCUAAGGCAACAACAACAGCAUAAAUCAAUGGUCUGCCACGACAAGCUUCAGUGGAUUCAGGGAACCAUUAAACCUGUUGCUCAAAAGCCUUGGUCCUAUUCUGAGCAAAGUUUCAGCUGUUCCUGUUCCUGGCUAUACAACCUACUGAGGUAGGUUCUGACCCUGAAAAACAGAUUUGGCCUCCUGGUUUGACUUCAGACCUGCCUGGUCACUACAGGCUUGUCUAGUAAUCUUGACUCUUAGCUGGAGCCAGCUUCUGUCCCUGGACCUGUUUUGCCCGCAUUGCUGGGGUGCUGCAGGGCUAGGUUGCUGAGAGCCAUGCCCUGCUUGCUUUGCUGCUGUGCUCAGCUCCUGACUUGCCUUCCUUUACUGAG
RNAcentral lists this long non-coding RNA (604 nucleotides) under Anser brachyrhynchus (Pink-footed goose). RNAcentral's name for it is "lncRNA (ENSABRG00000000688.1)". The record is from RNAcentral. Lineage: Eukaryota; Metazoa; Chordata; Aves; Anseriformes; Anatidae.